Molecule: long non-coding RNA, 395 nt
Filed under: Mytilus galloprovincialis (Mediterranean mussel)
Lineage: Eukaryota; Metazoa; Mollusca; Bivalvia; Mytilida; Mytilidae
Source: RNAcentral
AAAAAAUUAUACUCGUAUAUCAAAAGCCAAAGAAAUGAGAACACCGGCAUUGCACCAUUACGAAGUGAAGGUACCCUUCAUACAAACCCCUCUGAGAAAGCAAACAUCCUUAAUAAGCAAUUCCAAUCAGCUUUCACAUCUGAAAAAAAUAUAGAAAUACCAACGAAAGAACCUAGUUCACACCCUAUAAUGGAAAAAAUAAACAUCAGUAGAGAAGGAGUAUAUAAACUAAUAAAAAAUAUAAACACUAACAAAGCUACAGGACCAGAUACUAUCGCUGGCAAUAUACUUAAAGAAAACAUUGAAAUAACUUCAUACAUUCUUACUAUCAUCUUCAACAAAUCUCUUGAGACAGGCAAAGUACCUUCAGACUGGAACCAUGCUAACGUUACACC